RNAcentral lists this ribosomal RNA (251 nucleotides) under uncultured bacterium. RNAcentral describes it as "partial 16S ribosomal RNA". It matches the Rfam family "Bacterial small subunit ribosomal RNA", at positions 524 to 776 of the family's 1533-position model. The record is from RNAcentral.
UACGUAGGCAGCAAGCGUUGUUCGGAGUUACUGGGCGUAAAGGGUGCGUAGGCGGCUUUUAAGUUUGGUGUGAAAUCUCCCGGCUCAACUGGGAGGGUGCGCCGAAUACUGAGAGGCUAGAGUGUGGGAGAGGAAAGUGGAAUUCCUGGUGUAGCGGUGAAAUGCGUAGAUAUCAGGAGGAACACCGGUGGUGUAAACGGCUUCUGGACCAUAACUGACGCUGAUGCACGAAAGCGUGGGUAGCAAACAGG